Molecule: ribosomal RNA, 1061 nt
Filed under: Sphingomonas sp.
Lineage: Bacteria; Pseudomonadati; Pseudomonadota; Alphaproteobacteria; Sphingomonadales; Sphingomonadaceae
Description: partial 23S ribosomal RNA
Rfam family: Bacterial large subunit ribosomal RNA
Source: RNAcentral
AUACUGAAUACAUAGGUAUGCAGAGCGAACCGAGGGAAGUGAAACAUCUCAGUACCUCGAGGAGAAGAAAUCAAACAGAGAUUCCCCCAGUAGCGGCGAGCGACCGGGGAAGAGUCUAAACCAGAGAUACAUGUAUUUCUGGGGUUGUGGGGCGUUCGACACGAGACUUAAGUUCAUAGCUGAGGGGCCUGGAAAGGCCCGGCAUAGAGGGUGAUACCCCCGUAGGCGAAAUGAACGAGAGCUCUAGAGCUGUCCCCAAGUACCACAGGGCACGAGAAACCCGGUGGGAAUCAGGGUGGACCAUCAUCCAAGACUAAAUAUCUGCUAGUGACCGAUAGCGUAUAGUACCGUGAGGGAAAGGUGAAAAGUACCCCGAUGAGGGGAGUGAAAAAGUACCUGAAACCGCAUGUCUACAAGCUGUGGAAGGACUAUGCCGCGCAAGCGGAAUGUCCGACCGCGUACCUUUUGCAUCAUGGGUUGGCGACUCAGUCUUUGCAGCAAGGUUAAGCCGAUUGAGGUGAAGCCGAAGGGAAACCGAGUCUGAAUAGGGCGCAUAGUUGCAGGGAUUGGACCCGAAGCCGGUCGAUCUACCUAUGGCCAGGAUGAAGCGAGGGUAAAACCUCGUGGAGGUCCGAACGGGUGAAAGUUGAAAAUUUCUCCGAUGAGCUGUGGGUAGGGGUGAAAGGCCAAUCAAGGCCGGUGAUAGCUGGUUCUCCCCGAAAGAUAUCUAGGUAUCGCCUCGAGAGAUUCAGUAUUGGAGGUAGAGCACUGGAUGGGCUAGGGCACUUACCCGUGUACCAAACCCAACCAAACUCCGAAUGCCAAUAACUGUUACCUCGGGAGACAGUCCUCGGGUGAUAAGGUCCGAGGGCGAGAGGGAAACAACCCAGACCAACAGCUAAGGCCCCAAAAUCUUAACUAAGUGGAAAAGGAUGUGGAGGCGCAUUGACAACCAGGAGGUUGGCUUAGAAGCAGCAAUCCUUUAAAGAAAGCGUAAUAGCUCACUGGUCAAGUGAAUCCGCGCCGAAAAUGUAACGGGGCUCAAGUUAAGUGCCGAAGCU